RNAcentral lists this ribosomal RNA (1369 nucleotides) under uncultured bacterium. RNAcentral's name for it is "bacterial SSU rRNA". It matches the Rfam family "Bacterial small subunit ribosomal RNA", at positions 28 to 1381 of the family's 1533-position model. The record is from RNAcentral.
GACGAACGCUGGCGGCAUGCCUAAUACAUGCAAGUAGAACGCUGAAGAGAGGAGCUUGCUCUUCUUGGAUGAGUUGCGAACGGGUGAGUAACGCGUAGGUAACCUGCCUUGUAGCGGGGGAUAACUAUUGGAAACGAUAGCUAAUACCGCAUAACAAUGGAUGACACAUGUCAUUUAUUUGAAAGGGGCAAUUGCUCCACUACAAGAUGGACCUGCGUUGUAUUAGCUAGUAGGUGAGGUAAUGGCUCACCUAGGCGACGAUACAUAGCCGACCUGAGAGGGUGAUCGGCCACACUGGGACUGAGACACGGCCCAGACUCCUACGGGAGGCAGCAGUAGGGAAUCUUCGGCAAUGGGGGCAACCCUGACCGAGCAACGCCGCGUGAGUGAAGAAGGUUUUCGGAUCGUAAAGCUCUGUUGUAAGUCAAGAACGGGUGUGAGAGUGGAAAGUUCACACUGUGACGGUAGCUUACCAGAAAGGGACGGCUAACUACGUGCCAGCAGCCGCGGUAAUACGUAGGUCCCGAGCGUUGUCCGGAUUUAUUGGGCGUAAAGCGAGCGCAGGCGGUUUGAUAAGUCUGAAGUUAAAGGCUGUGGCUCAACCAUAGUUCGCUUUGGAAACUGUCAAACUUGAGUGCAGAAGGGGAGAGUGGAAUUCCAUGUGUAGCGGUGAAAUGCGUAGAUAUAUGGAGGAACACCGGUGGCGAAAGCGGCUCUCUGGUCUGUAACUGACGCUGAGGCUCGAAAGCGUGGGGAGCGAACAGGAUUAGAUACCCUGGUAGUCCACGCCGUAAACGAUGAGUGCUAGGUGUUGGAUCCUUUCCGGGAUUCAGUGCCGCAGCUAACGCAUUAAGCACUCCGCCUGGGGAGUACGACCGCAAGGUUGAAACUCAAAGGAAUUGACGGGGGCCCGCACAAGCGGUGGAGCAUGUGGUUUAAUUCGAAGCAACGCGAAGAACCUUACCAGGUCUUGACAUCCCGAUGCUAUUUCUAGAGAUAGAAAGUUACUUCGGUACAUCGGUGACAGGUGGUGCAUGGUUGUCGUCAGCUCGUGUCGUGAGAUGUUGGGUUAAGUCCCGCAACGAGCGCAACCCCUAUUGUUAGUUGCCAUCAUUCAGUUGGGCACUCUAGCGAGACUGCCGGUAAUAAACCGGAGGAAGGUGGGGAUGACGUCAAAUCAUCAUGCCCCUUAUGACCUGGGCUACACACGUGCUACAAUGGUUGGUACAACGAGUUGCGAGUCGGUGACGGCGAGCUAAUCUCUUAAAGCUAAUCUCAGUUCGGAUUGUAGGCUGCAACUCGCCUACAUGAAGUCGGAAUCGCUAGUAAUCGCGGAUCAGCACGCCGCGGUGAAUACGUUCCCGGGCCU